This 301-nucleotide ribosomal RNA is filed under the name uncultured bacterium. RNAcentral's name for it is "partial 16S ribosomal RNA". It matches the Rfam family "Bacterial small subunit ribosomal RNA", at positions 509 to 808 of the family's 1533-position model. The record is from RNAcentral.
CAGUCGCCCGGUAAUACGGAGGAUCCAAGCGUUAUCCGGAAUCAUUGGGUUUAAAGGGUCCGUAGGCGGUCUUGUAAGUCAGUGGUGAAAGCCCAUCGCUCAACGGUGGAACGGCCAUUGAUACUGCAGGACUUGAAUUAUUGGGAAGUAACUAGAAUAUGUAGUGUAGCGGUGAAAUGCUUAGAGAUUACAUGGAAUACCAAUUGCGAAGGCAGGUUACUACCAAUUGAUUGACGCUGAUGGACGAAAGCGUGGGUAGCGAACAGGAUUAGAGACCCCAGUAGUCCCUGUCUCUUAUACA